RNAcentral lists this ribosomal RNA (395 nucleotides) under uncultured bacterium. Its description in RNAcentral is "partial 16S ribosomal RNA". It matches the Rfam family "Bacterial small subunit ribosomal RNA", at positions 28 to 410 of the family's 1533-position model. The record is from RNAcentral.
GAUGAACGCUAGCGACAGGCCUAACACAUGCAAGUCGAGGGGCAGCGGGGGAUGAAGCUUGCUUCAUCUGCCGGCGACCGGCGCACGGGUGAGUAACACGUAUGCAACCUGCCCGCCACAGGGGGAUAAACGCUGGAAACGGCGCCUAAUACCCCCAUACUAUCGCUAUGCUGCAUGGCAUGGCGAUGAAAACUCCGGUGGUAGCGGAUGGGCAUGCGGCGCAUUAGCUGGUUGGGGGGGUAACGGCCCCACCAAGGCGACGAUGCGUAGGGGUUCUGAGAGGAAGGUCCCCCCANACUGGUACUGAGACACGGACCAGACUCCUACGGGAGGCAGCAGUGAGGAAUAUUGGUCAAUGGGCGGGAGCCUGAACCAGCCAAGUCGCGUGAGGGGAA